Molecule: long non-coding RNA, 4391 nt
Filed under: Lotus japonicus
Lineage: Eukaryota; Viridiplantae; Streptophyta; Magnoliopsida; Fabales; Fabaceae
Description: long non-coding RNA (LJAP_LNC002247)
Source: RNAcentral
AAGUUUGAAUUUGAUGAUACUUUCUGAGCAGUGAUCAAGUAUCAAACAUUUUCAUUUGGCUUGAAUUGGAACACCACAGGCUGCAGGAGCAUGCUUCCCAUCCUUGAACACAAGGUUUCCUCUGACAAAAGUGUCCAACACUUUUCCGGAUAAACUUCGUCCCAUAUAAGUAGAGAGGUUCUGAAUACCAAAGUGUCAUUUUUUUCAAUUUGUCUAAAAAGUUCAGCAAGAAGAAGCAACCAUAUAGUAGUUUAAAAUGUUGAAUAUUUAUAAUUGGAACAAUGAAAGUCCUAGACAGAAUGACUCCGGGUGUUAAACUACAAUAUGUCCCUCAGCUCCUACCACUUGAGCUAAUUUACGAUGACAGAAAAUUAUAAAUGUUUGAUUACACUAAUUAAAGACAAUUUUUUUUUAAAAUUUUCUUUCCCAUCUAUCUCAACAACUAAAAGCUAAUUAAAUCAAUUUUUUCAAUGGAAAAUGCUGUGGGGCACGACCUUGGGGCUCGUGCACCACGCACGAAGCAUUUUCUGGCGGUUAGAAACCGCCAGAAACCGUAGCUUUUCUUUUUAUUUUGACAGUUGUAAUUUUGUGGCGGUUUUGAACCGCCAGAAAUAUUAGGUUUGCUUUUUUUUUUGGCAGUUGUAAUUUUGUGGCGGUUUAAAACCGCCACAAAAUUACUCUCGUGCAUUCUUCGUACGUGCACUCUCGUACUAUAUAGCAUUGCUCUUUUUCAAAUGCUCAAACAUUGAUUUUUAAAGAAAAAAAAUCACAAACAAAUACCUUUGGGGGGGAAGGGUAGCUCACUUGGUGAGCUAAGGGAAUGAAGAGAUUUGCAGGGUGAAGGGUCAGGGUUCGAAUCCUCGUGAAGAAACUAAUUUACUAACAAUUAACAACUAACAUUGGCCUAUAAAAAAAGCAAACAAAUACCUUUGAUAAAGAUACCAAUAAAAUUCUUAAAUUUUCAAAUACACACUACUUACAAACAUCAAUUAACUACAUAAUUACUUAAUUAGUGACGCACCCAAUUCAUUAAUUGAGUAAAGGUUCAUAAUCAAAAUCUCAUUUCCCUUCCCAAUUUUUUUUUGUUGCUUCCCAAUAUGGUAACUUUUUAUAAGAAUAUUAUAUUAUUUUUUUACAGCAAAAGAAGAAGAGCUUUAUUGAAUAAUUGAGAAAUAAAAGUCAUGAGAACAAGCCUCUCAUGAAAACUUAAUUGAAUCCAAAACAUGCUUAUACCAUUUUUGGAAGAGCACAUUUGGGAAAAAAUCUCAUUAAAAUCUUAAUUAGGAAAAACUCAUUGAGAUAAAAGGAAAAAGAAUUCUCAAAUAACCAAGCGGCUAGAAACCCUCAAAAAAAGACCCAUUACACCCAUUAAAAUAGUUAUACUACAAUAAAAUUCACAAAUCAUUUCUUACACCACAUAAUGUGCAGAUUUGUAAUCUAGUUAUAAUACAUUUUGCAAGUGUUGUGAUUGUGAGAGCUCAUGGUUGAUGGCGGAUUUUAGCUCAUUGAGAAAUGGUUGUGCUCGAUCUAAAGCCAUAACUUUUUCCACUGAAUCAUCAAGUUGCACAGGGUUGUAAUCUCUGAUGUUUUUAAAUAGCACAGGUGGGCCAAAAUAUGGAGAGUCCAGCCUUGGAAAAGGUUGUUGGCUCAAUUCCAUUAGUCUCUUAUCACACUUUAACAUCUUCUCAUAGUGUUUGCCCAAAUCUCCACUAGCGAACUCCAAAUGAUGAAUCCUACAUGAUUAACUCAUAUUUCACAUAGGCAUUACAAUUCAUUCACAUACAAUUAGAGAAAUUAUAAAGCAAAGUUGACCUAUUUUUGAAGGGGUUGUCUAAAUCAUACAAAUUUAUUUUAGGUAAAUAACACUAGCUUAAGUAAAGCGUCCUAGGUUUACUUUUAGUUCAUGACACAUGCCAAAUAAUUAUUGAACCAUUUAAAACUAGAGCAGUUUCAGCCAAUGUUCACUUUGAGAUUUACACUAUAUUUAAAAGAAAAUGUGUUAAAGAUGUGUCUUGUACUUUAAAAUUAUUACUUUUAAUUCCUAUUAAAAUAUUAUUCAAUCAUAAUGCUACACAUUACAAAAAAAUAUCAUGUUUUCUAAUCGGUCACAAAAGACUAAAAGUACAAGAAUUCUGUAUUUUUUAAUGAUUGCAAUAGAAAAUUUUAUAUAGGGUUUAAAAUUAAAAUUUAUUGAUUUUAGUUGAGUGCCACUAGUAGGUAACCCUGAAUUUUAACCUAAGCAUAUGUGACAAAAAAUAAAAUAAAAUGUUUAACAAAGAAAAUAAAUACAUACCGGUACGUCAUAGCAUGACCUCCUGUGAAAUCAUGAUCUGAUAUCUCCCACGUGGUGUGUGUGCUUUGUGAACUAAUCUCCUUAUGAAAAAUUGGUUGCUCAUCAAGCUGGGGAUGAAAAAAGAAUUUCAUUAUCAAAUAAUGUAUAUUGAUUAUUCUAAUUUAUCAAGAGGAAAAGACCAUGAAAGAAAUUAAUAAGAAUAGGAAGAAUAACACACCUCAAUUUCAAGGAUUUCAGUCUUGUUUUCUUCAAUAAAAGCUCUUAUGGCCGAAAUGUUAUCCCAUGGUACUUCAGCUUUGAACUUUUUCUUCUUACUGCUAUCUAAAAUCUCCCAUAUAAGCUUUCUCCUUACAAAUUGACACUUCACAACCAAUUCGUUGACAUUUGUAGGUAUAAACUGCAUCAAAAUUAUUUAUAUUAAAUGUGUAUUCCUUAAUUUCUAGCUAAAAAAUAAAUGUUUUUUAAAUGAAAUUAAUUUUUAUAUGCAUACACAUUAAUCUUUAUUAGCCAUAUAUCAUAUCUUACAUUGUAUUUUCCGAUAUUCAGCAACUUAGCAUAAAAAGUAGCAGGUGCGAACUUGAGCGUUGUUGAUGAGUUUUGCUUUUUGGAUUUUUGCAUCUUACGCCACAUUUCCUCUCGUUCUUUCAUUGCAGACGCCGUGCGCUUCAAUCCGAGUGGUGGUUUAGGGCACAAAUUGCGUUCCAAUCUUGCAUUGAGUAGAUGUGGCUGCAAAAAAAUUAAAAUUAGAAAGAAACAAAAACAUUUAUUCAUAAAGUAUGAAAUUAAAAAAUAUGCACUUUGUAGAAUCACUUUACACAUACAAAUUUCAGAAAGAAAAAAAAAACUUUACACAUACAACCAACUUCAGCUUUUUGCCCAUCCGAUACUCAAUUUUCAAAAAAAAAAUAAUAUUUGAAUUAAAAUAAAACAAAAUCUCACAUAGUCAAUUUUUUUCUCUGUUGCCACUGCGUUCUGUCUCUUUUCUCCCUGAUACAUGAAAUCAACCCCCUAAUUCACUUCCCCUCUAUUCCUCAAAUGUGUAUCAUAUUUUAAAUUGAUUUCUAACAUGGAUAAAAAUUGAAAUUCUAUUGGUUUAAACUGACAGUAUCCUUUAAUCUCUAAAGUAAUUCACUGCAAGAAACUGUUUCUUAAAAAAAAAAUUGGAAUCCACUACAAGAAACAGUUUAAUUAACCUGACUAACCUCUCUCUCGUUCAUUGAAGAUGAUGAGAGCUCCAAUCCAAAUGGUGGUUUAGUGUUCAUAAUUCCUUCCAAUAUUUCACUGAUUUUUUACAGCUAUAUAUAAGAAAUAGUUUUUAUUUUAUAUAUUUUAAAUUCAAAGACAGUUUAACCUAACUAAUUCUAUCUAAUCGUUUCAAAAAAUCCUAACUAACAGCUUUAUCGUCCCUAUCAAAUAGUAAAUAAUACUAUUCUAUUACUUCGGCCUAUCAAAACAACUAUUUCACAACAUCCGUAAAAUAAAAAUCUAUUAAAAUAUUACUAGUUUAUGUAUUUAAUUACCUUCCAAUCGAUAUUUACUAUAUUAUUUCUUUUUAUUAUCCACUUAUUAAUUGAUUCACAUUAUCUAUUCAGAGGAUGUACAAAUAUCAUAAUUUGAAAUUACCAUAAUUAUUUAUUUCUAUAAAGAUUUCCAUAAUUUUAAAAUGUUUAUUUUCACUAUUGGAUUAACUUGAAGGGUUAGGACUCAGGAUUGAAUCUCAAUAGACAUGAAUCCGCAAACUCAAUCUGUAGAAUAUUUUAGUUAGUAUUAUUACACCAAGUUUGAAUUUGAUGAUACUUUCUGAGCAGUGAUCAAGUAUCAAACAUUUUCAUUUGGCUAGAAUUGGAACACCACAGGCUGCAGGAGCAUGCUUCCCAUCCUUGAACACAAGGUUUCCUCUGACAAAAGUGUCCAACACUUUUCCGGAUAACCUUCGUCCCAUAUAAGCAGAGAGGUUCUGAAUACCAAAGAGUCAUUUUUUUCAGUUUGUCUAAAAAGUUCAGCAAGAAGAAGCAACCAUAUAGUAGUUUAAAAUGUUUUGAUUUAUAGUUGGAACAAGGAAACCCAUAGACAGAAUGAGUUAAAUAACAGAAUAAAG